Molecule: ribosomal RNA, 253 nt
Filed under: uncultured bacterium
Lineage: Bacteria
Description: partial 16S ribosomal RNA
Rfam family: Bacterial small subunit ribosomal RNA
Source: RNAcentral
UACGUAGGGUGCGAGCGUUAAUCGGAAUUACUGGGCGUAAAGCGUGCGCAGGCGGUUUUGUAAGCCAGAUGUGAAAUCCCCGGGCUUAACCUGGGAAUGGCAUUUGGGACUGCAAGGCUUGAGUGCGGCAGAGGAGACUGGAAUUCCUGGUGUAGCGGUGGAAUGCGCAGAUAUCAGGAGGAACACCGAUGGCGAAGGCAGGUCUCUGGGCCACUACUGACGCUGAGAAGCGAAAGCAUGGGGAGCGAACAGG